Molecule: ribosomal RNA, 1443 nt
Filed under: Escherichia coli
Lineage: Bacteria; Pseudomonadati; Pseudomonadota; Gammaproteobacteria; Enterobacterales; Enterobacteriaceae
Description: bacterial SSU rRNA
Rfam family: Bacterial small subunit ribosomal RNA
Source: RNAcentral
GCUCCCCAUGGACCUGACAGAUUGAAGGCCUAACACCCAUGACCAUGCAAGUCGAACCACCGUAGGGAAGCAGCUUGCUGCUUUGCUGACGAGUGGCGGACGGGUGAGUAAUGUCUGGGAAACUGCCUGAUGGAGGGGGAUAACUACUGGAAACGGUAGCUAAUACCGCACCAUUAACGUCGCAAGCCUAGGGGGACCUUAGGGCCUCUUGCCAUCGGAUGUGCCCAGAUGGGAUUCCUGUUAUUCGUGAGCUAGGGCUCACCUAGGCGACGAUCCCUAGCUGGUCUGAGAGGAUGACCAGCAACACUGGAACUGAGACACGGUCCAGACUCCUACGGGAGGCAGCAGUGGCAAUGGGCGCCCAUGACUUACGUGUAAAGCCUGAUGCAGCCAUGCCGCGUGUAUGAAGAAGGCCUUCGGAAAGUACUUUCAGCGGGGAGGAAGGGAGUAAAGUUAAUACCUUUGCUCAUUGACGUUACCCGCAGAAGAAGCACCGGCUAACUCCGUGCCAGCAGCCGCGGUAAUACGGAGGGUGCAAGCGUUAAUCGGAAUUACUGGGCGUAAAGCGCACGCAGGCGGUUUGUUAAGUCAGAUGUGAAAUCCCCGGGCUCAACCUGGGAACUGCAUCUGAUACUGGCAAGCUUGAGUCUCGUAGAGGGGGGUAGAAUUCCAGGUGUAGCGGUGAAAUGCGUAGAGAUCUGGAACUGUAGUAGGCCCUGAAAUACCAAGGCGGCCCCCUGGACGAAGACCCAUGACUACUGACGCUGAGCAAACAGGAUUAGAUACCCUGGUAGUCCACGCCGUAAACGAUGUCGACUUGGAGGUUGUGCCCUUGAGGCGUGGCUUCCGGACCCUAGGAUUAACGCGUUCCUGGGGAGUCCAACGGCCGCAAGGUUAAAACUCAAAUGAAUUGACGGGGGCCGCACAAGCGGUGGAGCAUGUGGUUUAAUUCGAUGCAACGCGAAGAACCUUACCUGGUCGGAAGUCCAUUUUCAGAGACCGUGAUUGAGAAUGUGCCUUCGGGAACCGUGCCAUGUAAGACACAUGGCUGUCGUCAGCUCGUGUUGUGAAAUGUUGGGUUAAGUCCCGCAACGAGCGCAACCCUUAUCCUUUGUUGCCAGCCUGAUGGUCCGGCCGGGAACUCAAAGGAGACUGCCAGUGAUAAAGAGGAAGGUGGGGAUGACGUCAAGAUCAUGGCCCUUACCAUGACGACCAGGGCUACACACGUGCCCAUGAUACAAAGAGAAGCGACCUCGCGAGUCAUCCAUGAAAGUGCGUCGUAGCCCUGAUCCGGAUUGGAGUCUGCAACUCGACCUCCAUGAAGUCGGAAUCGCUAGUAAUCCAUGUGGAUCAGAAUGCCACGGUGAAUACGUCCCGGGCUGUACACACCGCCCGUCACACCAUGGGAGGGUUGCCGUACAAAGAAGUAGGUAGCUAACUUCG